This 496-nucleotide ribosomal RNA is filed under the name uncultured bacterium. RNAcentral's name for it is "partial 16S ribosomal RNA". It matches the Rfam family "Bacterial small subunit ribosomal RNA", at positions 29 to 523 of the family's 1533-position model. The record is from RNAcentral.
AUUGAACGCUGGCGGCGUGCCUAACACAUGCAAGUCGCACGCGAAAGGGGGCAACCCUGAGUAGAGUGGCGGACGGGUGAGUAACGCGUAGGAAUCUACCUGGUAGUGGGGGACAACCCGGUGAAAACCGGGCUAAUACCGGAUACGAUCCACGGAUGAAAGCAGGGGACCGCAAGGCCUUGCGCUAUCAGAUGCGCCUGCGUCGGAUUAGCUAGUUGGUGGGGUAAAUGCCCACCAAGGCGACGAUCCGUAGCUGGUUUGAGAGAACGACCAGCCACACUGGGACUGAGACACGGCCCAGACUCCUACGGGAGGCAGCAGUGGGGAAUAUUGGACAAUGGGGGCAACCCUGAUCCAGCAAUGCCGCGUGUGUGAAGAAGGCCCUCGGGUUGUAAAGCACUUCCGGUGGGGACAAACAAGGUGGAGCUAACAUCUCCGCCUCUGAUGGUACCCAAAGAAGAAGCACCGGCUAACUCUGUGCCAGCCGCCGCGGUAA